CACGUGGGGCGCGAGCGUUGUCCGGAAUUAUUGGGCGUAAAGAGCUCGUAGGCGGCCUGUUGCGUCCGCUGUGAAAGCCCGGGGCUUAACCCCGGGUCGGCAGUGGAUACGGGCAGGCUAGAGGUAGGUAGGGGAGAAUGGAAUUCCCGGUGUAGCGGUGAAAUGCGCAGAUAUCGGGAGGAACACCGGUGGCGAAGGCGGUUCUCUGGGCCUUACCUGACGCUGAGGAGCGAAAGCGUGGGGAGCGAACAGG
This 253-nucleotide ribosomal RNA is filed under the name uncultured bacterium. RNAcentral describes it as "partial 16S ribosomal RNA". It matches the Rfam family "Bacterial small subunit ribosomal RNA", at positions 524 to 776 of the family's 1533-position model. The record is from RNAcentral.